AAAUAAGAAGCAAUUAUUGCAUUCAGUUUCGACCUGAAAGUUAGAUAACCUUAUCCUUAUUUA
This 63-nucleotide transfer RNA is filed under the name Tryonicus parvus. RNAcentral's name for it is "tRNA-Arg". Lineage: Eukaryota; Metazoa; Arthropoda; Insecta; Blattodea; Tryonicidae. The record is from RNAcentral.